AAAAACUUAAAGCUUCUUUGAAAGUAUCAUUUAUCUUUUUAUAAGGAGAGUGGUAACACUCCUAACAUAUUGUCACGUAAGAUUUUGGAGUGUCACCUUAUUUUUUACUAUUUAGCACCUAAUCUUAACAUUUAGUAAGGAAUGAUAACGCUCCUAACACUUCAUUUUUUUUCUUUUUCUUUUUCUAAUUUAAUUAAACUGCUUUAGUUUAAUAUAGAAACAUUUUUCCCUACCAAGCUUUUACAGAAAGUUACAGAUCAAAACUAAAUGUAUAUUUAACAGAUACGAUUUGCCUAAGCUACAUUCUUACAUAAUAAACCAAAUACUAGAAAUAUAUUUAUCCUUACAUUCUUUUAUAAAAACAAAAUACAAUCGCUUCCUUGAUGAAACAUUUGAUCGGUUUAUACCUAAUAACUAAAGAGAAUAUACGAUGACUACAAAUCAAUUGCUAUCAAAUCCUUCAAUCCCAUUCUUCUCUUUAACUUUGCUCCAUCAUGAUAUUCAACUGUUUAAAUAUAAACCGCAAACAAAAAAAACAGCAAUUUCAUCAAACUAAAAGAUUACAAAGCUUAGGGAUAACUACACAUAAUAUAAACAACAUUUGUUCAUAUAUGAACAUAUAUGCUGAAGCUAUAAAAAUGGAGGUAAUCUUGAUUUAUUGAUAUUUUUCUUCUCAUUGUAUGCUUCUUGGUGUAGAAAGAAAAUAUUCGAUAUAAUCAAAUUGUCCUUUACGUUUUCUGCAAUCCACACAAACAUGUUCUUUUGAUGCAAAUUCUACAUGUAGUUCUGUGAAAUCACUAAAUAGGUUGAAGAGCUAAUUGAGUGUUUAUGAUAUACAUGUCAUAUAAUUUGCACAAAUGCUUACAGAGGCAUAAGCAGGAUAGUUUUUUUUACUAGCUUAAUUUUUAUCAAAGGCUCUUAGUUUAGGAAUUAGAAACUAAAUGUAACACAUAUCAGCCAAAAUUGUUACCAAAAAUUUUGAGUUCUAAUGUCCUAAAUCAUGAAAAAAAUUGCAUCCAAGUUAUAGCUAAUAUAAAAAGUUGGAUCCAAUCAUGAUUCCAAAAUCACACUACAAUAAUCCAACUUUCAGUUUGAACAAUGACAAAAUUAACUUAUGUGCAAAAAAAGAAAAAAAAACUAACCUGAACAUUGAAGAGUGAAUGAACACUAAGUUGAAUGGUCAUCAAACUGAAGAAAAAAAGUCAUUCUUCAAAAUGUAUUGAAGGUGGAAAUCUUGCUAGUUACACUGACACUUCAAUAGAAGAGAAUAACUUUAUUAAAAACAUGAACGAACAAAAAAAAUUAAAGGAAGAACAAUUUAAUUGAACGAAGGAAUGAAAAUCUUGUUAGUUACACUGACACUUCAAUGGAGGAGAAUAACUCAACUAGAAAAACAUGAAUGCACAAAAAAAUUAAAGGAAGAACAAUUUAAUUGAACAAUAGAAUGUAAAUUUUGUUAGGAUUUGGGAGAAUCUAGAUUCAAAGGUGAUGGUGGAUGUAGAGAAGUUGUGGUUCUAUUACCUGUCGUCGGAGCAAUCGUAGGCAAUGUCAAUGACAAAUUUUCAGACGCAGGGGAACAACUCGAUGUCUAAACAUGCUUGAACAAUUUCUCUCUUUGUGCAAUUUGUUAUCUUUAAUUCUGAAUUUAAUCAAACUUAUUCUCGUUGGAAUUAUACAACUGCACAGAAAACCUAGAUUAUCACCAAAAAAGAAGAAGGGGACUGUGUAUGUUUCUCCUUGGGCGACAAAGCAGAAACGAAGAACGCGAUGAGAACUUCGAACCUGCAAUCAACGAUGAAAAAGAAGGGAACCGUCUCCACCAAUAAGCUUUCACCCUCACCUUCUCUCACUUCUCGCCAAAAUGGUAAUCAGAUAGCAACUCCUCUAGUGAGCGCUAGGGGGAGGUGUUCAUGGCACGUUAGCGAGCGUAGCGAGUGGGCUUAACAUCCCGACUCCGCUUAGCCUAACGCCUUGUUCCC
RNAcentral lists this long non-coding RNA (1979 nucleotides) under Lactuca sativa (garden lettuce). Its description in RNAcentral is "long non-coding RNA (LSAT_LNC000101)". The record is from RNAcentral. Lineage: Eukaryota; Viridiplantae; Streptophyta; Magnoliopsida; Asterales; Asteraceae.